Molecule: non-coding RNA, 3002 nt
Organism: Rattus norvegicus (Norway rat)
Lineage: Eukaryota; Metazoa; Chordata; Mammalia; Rodentia; Muridae
Source: RefSeq, a predicted model, not a curated record
CUUAUGUUCUUGUGUAGAGUUUGUAUUUUUUUAACAAAGAUUCAUCAUACUUACUAAAUUAUGUAUAUGCACAAUAACUUAAGGUGACAUUAACAAAAUUACAUUUGAAGUUAUAUUUACUAACUUGUGAAUUAUUUCCAUAUAUAUGUAGAUUACAGAAACUAUCAUCAUUUAUGUUCUAAUAGGGUAUGUUAUAUAAAUCUCAUUCAAUAUUCAAUAUGGUAUAUUAAAAAUCUUAAAUUAAACAUAGUAGUUCAUGCUGUAAUCCAUGUACUCUGGAGGAGAAAGCAGAGAAUCAGAAAUUAAAGGUCAUCCUAAACCUGCCUGUGCUAUAUGAGCCCAUCUCAAACAAACCAAUUCACAGAAUACAUACAUACAUACUGACUUACAUAAUAUAUACACAUCGAACCAAUUCACAGAAUACAUACAUACAUACAUACAUACAUACAUACAUACUGACUUACAUAAUAUAUACACAUAUACACACAUUCAUACAUACCUAUGUACUGGUUCACAUGCAUACAUAAACAUAUACUUACAUCUAUAUAUGUACAUAAAAUCUUAUUGCACUGGCUCUUGCUUUCAUAGAAUGUCAAAUAAUGUAGAGGAACAUAAUUCAUUAUUUUAAUGAAAAUACUGUGUCAAUCAUGAUAAAAUUUUCAUUUCAGUAAUAAAAUGGCAGUUGCAAUAGCCAAAAUAUAUCACAUAUAAAACCCUGUUAUGUACAAUAACAAAUGCUAUAGCAACAGCAACAGUAAAUCUCCCUGGGUCACAAAUAAUUGGGACUACCAGACAGCUAGUUAUCCGGCCAACUUAAGAGUCCCAUUUUGGUGUUUCAAGAAAAAUACCAUGGGAAGAUGAGUGUUAUAGCCUCCUUUAUUUUAGUCCUUUCAGCAAAAAUGAUAGAUACCAUUUUCUGUCGCUUAACUAUAAACCAAUUACGGAACUUCCAACUUAAAGUGUGUGCAAUGUUAUGUAAAUAUGAGAAAAGGAAGGAGAUUUUUUUUUGAGUUUUUGCUAUCAUCAGGCACAUCGCACAGGAAAGGCAGUGAGGGACUUGCCCUCCCACUUCAGCAAGGCAAAUGCAGACGCGACUUGUCAGCUGCAGACAGACAGCUGUACACUGAAGAGGUUCACAAAGGAGGACGAAAUUAGAUCUUGAUAUCCACUCCUUUUCGCUUUACCAGGAAAGUUGAGCUCCACACAGACCAUUUUAUUUGAUGAAGUUAAAAACAUAAGACAUACUAAGAUGGGUGCCCGCGACAACAGAACUGUACACAUGCUAUAGCCUUUAUACUCACCAUGUACUUCAUUGGUCCAAAUAUUUAUAGUUCAUUGUUGUGACUGCCGAAACUGGCAACCACGAGGAUUGUUGUCUCAAUUAGGACAGUAAACAGAUUGUCUCUUUUUUUAAUGAAAAAAUCUAAAAUGUAAUACUUCACAGUUUCACAUGUUUAUUCAUCCAAACGAGCUAAAAAAUAAUGGUGCGACAUCUGUUCGAGAAACACUGGUACCUCAAAAUUUGGCUGCCUCCCCACCAAUUUGGUUGUUGUUUUAAAAAAUGAAAAAUAGGAGGGGGCACUGUCAUCAAAAAUCUUCUGGCGUGUAAAGUAACUUAUUUUUCUCGAAAUAAGCAUCCCCUAUCUGUUGCUAAGGAUACAAAAAAUUGUGUAACAAGGCGUUACUAUGCAGAAUAGGGCUGCAGUUCAAUUGUUUUAAGUGGUUCUCUGAUGCACUGGGACUGGUCCACAGUUGUGCACCUCUGCACACGACUCUCCGGUUCUCCUUUGUACUUACCUAUGCAAUUACAACCAAGGGAAACGGUGACACUGGUGUAGUGCUAAGAAGACAAGGCAGCGCUCUGCUAGGGGAGAAGUAGGAAGUGCCCCUCCCCCUGCCCCCAGAGAAGCCCCAGCUAGUCUUCAUCUGGGUCCAGAUCAGCGUCGAUAUUCGUGGACAGUCGGAGGUAAAAGAAAGCAUAGAAAGCCAGUAAGAGGGCCAGUAUAGCUGCAAGCAUGAGGCCAACCUCCUGGGGAAGAGAAAACGGGAAACCUGAGCAGAUGAAGAGACAAACUGACCUCUACCUUGGUAAAUGGCUGACCCUGGCCUCCAGCUCCUGUUCGUCCUUCUUCAGACUAAGGAAGAAAGAACAGAGUCAGUCCAUGACCCAGAAGGCUCUAGAAUACCAACUGGUUUCCACCUUUGCAUCACACUGCUUACCUUGCUUUGUUUCAUGGGGAAGCAAUUCAUUUGCAUUUGUAUGAAUAUAUUUUACAUUUCAUAUGAAUGUAAAAUAAAUAAUUCAACAUGUGCCACCUAAUAAACUUUAAAAAACAUUAAAAUGGAUCUGAUGUAUACCCAAAUUUCAGAUGAAUGUUGAAAAUAUGAAUAGACGUUAUGUACAGAUUUUCCGAUGCUUGAUUACAUUUAUUUAAAUAUCCAAAGUAUGAAAAUAAAUAUUAAUAAAAAACCCAUGUCAACAAAUUUUGUGUUACUUGAUUUUUAAAAUAUCAUACAUCCAUGUACUGUCAAACGAAAGUGAAAUUUUCUUUGUUACAGCUGGACCACUUUGACAUCUCUAAAGGGCAAGGAGGCAUCAGACAGGUUUCAUUUACUGUCUCCUAUCCACAGCUGUGCCCCCAGGCCCAUCUGGGUAAACGGCCACUAAUUUUAAGAGGAUGUAAUAAACAAGUGACACAGCCACCAACCCCAUCUGCUCUGUAAAGUGGACAACAGGAUUGAUCAACAGCAGCCGUCGCUUACAUAAGCUCAACCAAAGAAUGACUUUUUAUUCUCGAAUCAAGACCCUGUUUCUCAUCUUACUGGUAAUCAUUCUUAAUGACUGCUUUCCCAUCCACUGUUCUUAAGGUAACCUGCCAUUCCCUCAUAAAUGAGUUCAGGAUAUUCACAGGUAGUAAGAAGAGGGUUGGCCAUAGAAAGCAAAGAUUAUGUAUAUAGAAAGGCCCCUGUCCUUCAAUGCAAAUGCAGAUGAAUUAAAAAUC